CGGUUGAUCCUGCCGGACCCUACUGCUAUCGGGGUGGGACUAAAACAUGCAAGUCGAGCGUCUCCUAACCAUGGUGGAGGCGCGGCGUACAGCUCAGUAACACGUGGCUAACCUACCCUUGGGACGGGAACACCCCCGGGAAACCACGCACAGACCUUGACGACAUAAACACAAAUUCUCAAAAAUCCACAAACCUCAUAACAUAAACAAACACUUCACUACACCGCCUUGCCGAUUUCUAAGCUGGCAAAGGCUAUCUCAAACUAACCAAAACCCACACACAACCUUCUAAGAAUAAAAACUUAAGGCUCUGGCGUAGCCCAAAACUGGGGUUAAUUCUCGAUGGGUGAGGAGGCCUGGAAUGGUUCUUCACUGAAAGGGUGUUAGAGGCAUGCUCUCUAACGUUGCCCAGGGAUGGGGCCGCGGCCGAUCAGGUUGUUGGUGAGGUAACGGCUUACCAAGCCUAUAACCGGUACGGGCCGUGAGAGCGGAAGCCCGGAGAUGGGCACUGAGAUAAGGGCCCAGGCCCUACGGGGCGCAGCAGUUGCGAAAACUCCGCAAUGCACGAAAGUGUGACGGGGCUACCCCGAGUGCCGUCCGCUGAGGAUGGCUUUUCUCCGCUGUAAGGAGGCGGAGGAAUAAGGAGAGGGCAAGACUGGUGUCGGCCGCCGCGGUAAUACCAGCUCUCCGAGUGGUAGGGGUGAUUAUUGGGCUUAAAGCGUCCGUAGCCCGGCCUGGCAAGUCUUCCGUUAAAUCCAGCAACCUAAUUGUUGGGCUGCGGGAGAUACUGUUAGGC
This 796-nucleotide ribosomal RNA is filed under the name uncultured archaeon. RNAcentral describes it as "bacterial SSU rRNA". It matches the Rfam family "Archaeal small subunit ribosomal RNA", at positions 5 to 592 of the family's 1478-position model. The record is from RNAcentral.